Molecule: ribosomal RNA, 281 nt
Filed under: uncultured bacterium
Lineage: Bacteria
Description: partial 16S ribosomal RNA
Rfam family: Bacterial small subunit ribosomal RNA
Source: RNAcentral
CCUACGGGACGCAGCAGUGAGGAGUAUUGGUCAAUGGGCGAAAGCCUGAACCAGCCAAGUCGCGUGAGGGAAGACGGUCCUAUGGAUUGUAAACCUCUUUUGUCGGGGGGCAAAAAGCGGUACGUGUACCGCAUCGGGAGUACCCGGAGAAAAAGCAUCGGCUAACUCCGUGCCAGCAGCCGCGGUAAUACGGAGGAUGCGAGCGUUAUCCGGAUUUAUUGGGUUUAAAGGGAGCGCAGGCGGCGAGUUAAGUCAGCGGUAAAAUGUCGGGCUCAACCCCG